Gambusia affinis (western mosquitofish) is the source of this 767-nucleotide long non-coding RNA. RefSeq lists it as uncharacterized. Lineage: Eukaryota; Metazoa; Chordata; Actinopteri; Cyprinodontiformes; Poeciliidae. The transcript is spliced from 2 exons. The record is from RefSeq and is a predicted model, not a curated record.
GUGAGCGGCUAAAGUCUUUCUUCUGCCUACAUCUCCCAGAAUGCUGUGCGGCUCCGGAUCAGAGUACACUGAAAGGAUUGAAUAUUCGAUCAGCUGAACAUAGCAGGGUCUAAAAGUCUAAUCUCACAACCCACCACAUCACAUGCCAGGCAGUUUUUAUGCUGCGAAGCUGAAUGGUUGAGCUCAAAUCUCGCCGUAACUUUAAUCAAGUUAUUUUAUCACCAAAAUCUCACCAAAACUUUGGGAACAAACCACAAUAAAAAAGGAACAAAAGAGGAGUGCGCUCCAAGCAGAAUGAAAAGCCUUUAAUGGGCUGAAAUGGACGAAGCCAAACAGAAGAUGCUGCCGGGCAGGAAACCCAGGAAAACAUAAGAAAGCAAGGAUCCAAAAAUAAUCAAGAGAUUGGCAACGGGGCUGAAAAUACAGGUGGUGAGGCACACAGAGAGCUGGCAGGAAGAGGAGGGAAAAUGUGCAGGAUGUAUAUAGUGAGGAGUAGCAGGUGUGACAAUCACAAGGACCAGUUGUGCUGGGAGGACAGAAACCCAAACCAGGCUGAGGAACAAACUGAGACACAAAAACAAGCAAAUGUGUCGCCAUGACGCAUUUCAAAGAUAUAAAGCAACAACUGAAAGGCAAAAAGGUCAACAAUUACAGAAGAAGUCAAAGAAAAAAAAUCAACACACAUCACCAGAGACGCGUCAAACAAAGUGUUUUCAGCAGACAUUUUAAUUUCCCUUUGGGAUCAAUAAAGUAUUUUUGAAUUUGAA